CGGCGCGCCUAACACAUGCAAGUCGAACGGAACUGUUUUGAAAGAUUCUUCGGAAUGAAUUUGAUUUAGUUUAGUGGCGGACGGGUGAGUAACGCGUGAGUAACCUGCCUUCAAGAGGGGGAUAACAUUCUGAAAAGAAUGCUAAUACCGCAUGACAUAUCGGAAUCACAUGAUUUUGAUAUCAAAGAUUUUAUCGCUUGAAGAUGGACUCGCGUCCGAUUAGUUAGUUGGUGAGGUAACGGCUCACCAAGACCGCGAUCGGUAGCCGGACUGAGAGGUUGAACGGCCACAUUGGGACUGAGACACGGCCCAGACUCCUACGGGAGGCAGCAGUGGGGGAUAUUGCGCAAUGGGGGCAACCCUGACGCAGCAACGCCGCGUGAAGGAUGAAGGUUUUCGGAUUGUAAACUUCUUUUAUUAAGGACGAAAAAUGACGGUACUUAAUGAAUAAGCUCCGGCUAACUACGUGCCAGCAGCCGCGGUAAUACGUAGGGAGCAAGCGUUGUCCGGAUUUACUGGGUGUAAAGGGUGCGUAGGCGGCUUUGCAAGUCAGAUGUGAAAUCUAUGGGCUCAACCCAUAAACUGCAUUUGAAACUGUAGAGCUUGAGUGAAGUAGAGGCAGGCGGAAUUCCCCGUGUAGCGGUGAAAUGCGUAGAGAUGGGGAGGAACACCAGUGGCGAAG
This 682-nucleotide ribosomal RNA is filed under the name uncultured Lachnospiraceae bacterium. Its description in RNAcentral is "bacterial SSU rRNA". It matches the Rfam family "Bacterial small subunit ribosomal RNA", at positions 40 to 720 of the family's 1533-position model. The record is from RNAcentral. Lineage: Bacteria; Bacillati; Bacillota; Clostridia; Lachnospirales; Lachnospiraceae.